Non-coding RNA from Podarcis lilfordi (Lilford's wall lizard), 367 nucleotides. NCBI's taxonomy places the organism in Eukaryota, Metazoa, Chordata, Lepidosauria, Squamata, Lacertidae. The record is from the annotation of a GenBank genome assembly.
UUGAAAGACUGGAUAACGCUAGAAAACAGAGACAUCUUGGAUCUUGAAGGCUUCGAUAACAGGUACGGGUGGCACUCGUACCUGUGGUAUGAAAAGGUGAAAGUACAUAGAGGCUUUUUAAACCAUAUUUUUAGAGGGCCAAUAUUCCAAGUAUGGGAAAGAAAUAAAAACCUAUUGGAAAGGAAGACACCCUGGUGGAUCUCACCAACAGAGGUGUUAACGGUCAAAAAAGUUAAUAUGGAAGGGAAGAAUCCUACCUAUGAAGAACUGACUAGGAAAACGGAUCAAGGUAUAAAACUUAGACCCUAUGAAGAGAUUAAAAACUCAUUUACUGGGUGGUUGCAAUACCACCAGGUAAAUGACCUGU